RNAcentral lists this unclassified non-coding RNA (336 nucleotides) under Rhodococcus erythropolis. RNAcentral describes it as "partial may contain 16S ribosomal RNA, 16S-23S ribosomal RNA intergenic spacer, and 23S ribosomal RNA". The record is from RNAcentral. Lineage: Bacteria; Bacillati; Actinomycetota; Actinomycetes; Mycobacteriales; Nocardiaceae.
UUCCCGUAUGUGGAACGGUGGUUGCUCAUGGGUGGACGCUGACAAACAUUCCUUUUCGUUACUGCCAGCCUCAAUGCUGGUGGGAGAACAAAUUAUAUCGGCAUACUGUUGGGUCCUGAGAGAACACGCGAGUGUUUCCUCGAAGGAAGUAACGACAAUGUUCAGGCGCGGUCAUACCGCAAGAAUUUUUUUCUUGUUGGUGUCUGCUUGGAGCCUGAGUGUUGUGUGUUGUUUGAGAACUGCACAGUGGACGCGAGCAUCUUUGUUGUAAGUAAUGAAGAGCGUACGGUGGAUGCCUUGGCACCAGGAGCCGAUGAAGGACGUAGGAGGCUGCGA